GGGCAGGUACCCAAGUGGCCAAAGGGGGCUGACUGUAAAUCAGCUGGCAACGCCUUCGGAGGUUCGAAUCCUUCCCUGCCCAUCA
This 85-nucleotide transfer RNA is filed under the name Chloroflexi bacterium HGW-Chloroflexi-1. RNAcentral describes it as "tRNA-Tyr". It matches the Rfam family "tRNA". Rfam says of the family: Transfer RNA (tRNA) molecules are approximately 80 nucleotides in length. Their secondary structure includes four short double-helical elements and three loops (D, anti-codon, and T loops). The record is from RNAcentral. Lineage: Bacteria; Bacillati; Chloroflexota.